Nothobranchius furzeri (turquoise killifish) is the source of this 2601-nucleotide non-coding RNA. The record is from RefSeq and is a predicted model, not a curated record. Lineage: Eukaryota; Metazoa; Chordata; Actinopteri; Cyprinodontiformes; Nothobranchiidae.
ACUGCCACCUUUAAACUAGCUGAGUUUACCGAAGUAGCUAGCUAACUAUCAGUUUAACAUGUAGCAUGUACUGUUUAACCAUGAAAUUUAAAUGUAAAAUACGGUAAAAUAAUUAAUAGGGCAUAUUUAGAUGGGUAAUAGGGUAAAACCCAGUGCAUUUAAGAUAAAAAUGGGUUGAAAUAUGACGGAGCGCUAAGAGGGAGACUUCUGUGUCCAUUCUUCCAUCCGGUAAUCCCCAGCGGUCAGGCCGGGCAGCCUGACCGAUCCGGCGCCUACUUGCUGCGCCUAGCUGCUGCGCGGUCUGACCGCUCGUGGAGUUUUUCAUGUCUGACUUUAACCGCAUCUAAUACUGUAUUACGGCGUGAGCGCAACAGCGACAACUUAAUAUCGAUGUGUAAGCAGCCUGAGUGGUAGGGUGUUUUCAUCUGAACCCUUAAAACCUCCAGCAGGCUAUGCUGCACUAUUGACGUGUUAGCGCGCGGCGCUAACAACUUAGCAACGUGACAUGUCUCUGAGAAAGCGUAAAACACGGACGCUUCUUCUGAAGCGGAAAAUAACACCUCUUCUUAAGCAGAGCAGGAUGUCGCCUCGGCUCGUUCACGGCCGAGCCGGACUGAGCUCGAUAACAUUGACCAAGCACAGCCACUGGGCCGUUGUAGCUGCCACCAGGCCUGCUGAAGGAACUCCAGCGGGUUUCAUCAGACUCGUAAAGUUUCUUGUUUUUGCUGGGGAUUUCUGUAUUUUACCGCUCCCUCCUGCAGUCUUCCCCUAUUAAAAUUUAAAAUGUGUAACUUUAUGUAUUGUGAUGAAUGACUAAUAUUCAUGUAAAACUAAAACGUUAGGCAUUUAGGGGGAAAAAACAAAAUAAUAAACAUUAUACAGAUGUCAAAUAAAUCAAACUGUAAUUAAACUAUAUAUUUUCAAAGUCAUAUAGACAGCAUGAUGGUUUGUGUGAUCCGCGCGGUUUCACUUACACCCCUUUAAUGAUCAGGCUGUUUUUUAUUAUUUUUAUCAGCUGAUAGCAGUUAAAAUUAUGGUAAAAAAUACUUUUAUCUGUUUUUGAUAACUUAAUGCCCAGGAAGAGCAUCUUCCUGGGCAUUAAAUAUAACCCAAAUGUUUUAUUAUGAGCAGAUCUGAUGAAGGUUUAGACAAGCAGUCUGCAAAGUAAAACUUGUUUAGAGUCCAAACUCUUACUAAAGCUUUUAAAAAGAAAAAAUGGUUGAAUUUUGAGAAAUAUCCACAACAGGGGAGCGAGACCUCUGAAAAAUGUAUAUUUUCUCUGAAUUCAUAGAAUAAUGUGAAGAUUCUGGGAAAAGUUGGGAUUCUGAGAUUAAAACGUAAAUCUUUCUAAUCAUAAUUCUGGCAGUUUUUGUGUCCUUCUGCUGUGGAAAGUCGUGCAACAUGAAGAUACUGAGAAGAUGCUUACAACCUGUAUUUUUAUUCCAUCCAUAAAUAAAAUCAUGAGCUAUUUUUUUAAUCCAAAUUUGAUACAAAGGGCCAUCGUUGGUUCCAGACCCGUUCUAGAACAUUCCUCUAAUCUUAAAGUCAUCAUCAGUUUCUUCCUUUUAACAAAUAUUUAUUUGUUCAAAUAUUUAAUAUUUAUAACUGGAAUAUUUGUUCCUCCCUUUCCCACUGCAGUUAGUCCUGUCCUGCAACCCUGUUUUUGCAGCUUAGUGAAGCCAACCAUCACUAACCUGGGGGUGGUUUUGGACCCAGAGAUGCGGAUGGACUCCCACAUUAGCCAGGGAAGGACCUGAUUGGUGUCCAGAACCUGUUGAAGAAGCACCAGGCUCUGCAGGCUGAGAUCACAGGUCAUGAACCUCGCAUCAAGGCUGUCACCCAGAAAGGAGAGACCAUGGUGGAGGAAGGUCACUUCGCUGGUGAGGAGGUGAAGACUAAGCUGUCAGAGCUUCAUGGACGUUGGGACACGCUAAAGGCCAAGGCGUCCCAGAGGAGGCAGGACCUGGAGGACUCUCUGCAGGCCCAGCAGUACUUUGCGGAUGCUAAUGAGGCCGAGUCCUGGAUGAGGGAGAAGGAGCCCAUCGUUGGAAGUCCAGACUAAGGGAAAGACGAGGACUUGGCCGAGGCUCUCCUGAAGAAGCACGAGGCCCUGAUGUCGGACCUGUCGGCUUAUGGCAGCAGCAUCCAGGCCCUGAAGGAGCAGGCCCAGUCCUGCAGGGACCUGAAGGCCAACGAGUCCCGCCUGAGGGACAUCAACAAGGUGGCAUCUGAACUGGAGUCAGAAGGUCUGAUGGCUGAGGAGGCUCCUAUGGUUCAGGCUCAGCAACAAGAACAUCUGGGUUCUGCUCCUGGAAAGGACGAAGCCGACUCUUAACACGGCGUCACCCUGGAAGACCGUACGGUUGGGCGUUCAGACGACGGCUAACUUUAAUUCCAUCAAGGUAAGAGGAAGCUCUUCCCUUCCUGUCUGAGCGAUCCGUCUCCAGGUUUCCUCGUCCGGCGUCCAGCCCGCUGGCGUCCACCUUCAUCUCACCUUCAUCUCAUCUCACUUCAUUUAUAGUGCAAUACUUUCACAUUAUCAUUUUCCCACACUUCUGUAUACCUGUAUUUUGUUGUUUUUCAAUAAAGAAUGACAAAUUA